Non-coding RNA from Triticum urartu, 1146 nucleotides. Lineage: Eukaryota; Viridiplantae; Streptophyta; Magnoliopsida; Poales; Poaceae. The record is from RefSeq and is a predicted model, not a curated record.
AUGACCUGCAGCUCAUUGACUGUUGAGUUCCCUCGAGUCUCUCUUUCUUCCGGCAAGAUUCUACAUCAAGGCUUGUGGCUUACCUUAUGGAUCUUAAUUAAGUCACCCCUUGUAAUUUCCUAAGGUGCUACCUCAUCAUUCUUAGGUGGCUCCUUUUUUUCCAUUUUGUGGCAGUUGAUAGUUGUGUGGUACAUGGAUGGGUGAGCUACUUAUUUAGCCUAUCAAAGAAUUAUCUCACUAGAUGUACGUAGGGAAAGAGAGCUCUUAUAUUGACACUCCUAGCACUUGAUAUAGCGUAAGCUUUUUUUCAAGUUGUUUAUAAUCUUGUGCUAGAAAAUAACAAUCAUAGAUUGCUAGGCAUUUGCCAUAUUGCCAUGCUAACUGAAAAUUGAUGUAAUCUCUGGUCUAAAAUGUCGUAGCUUGUUCUUUUGUACUUUCAUACACUCGUACUGACUACACAUAAUGUCAAAUGAUGCGAGUGUCGGUAUAUAUCAUCUAUGGAGGUGCUUGUGCUAUUGGAAUUUCACCAGUUGCUCCAGAGCACAAAAACACAAUAACAGUUGGGAGGGUUGCUUUGUAUCCCUAGACCCACACCCACACCCGACCACCAUCUCCCAUUUUCCUCAGUAUCACGACCUGAUGCGACGUUGGCAGCGCAAUCAGUCGGAGGAGGCCAGCGGUGGCGAUGACGGCAAUGCGAUGGGGAAAGGUUGCUCGUCGUCGCGGCACCAGCAAUUCCACGAUCGCAUAAUACCCGCAUGUUGAUGACCUCCAGGACUCUCCGGCCUCCUCCCUCCAGGCGUACUAUUGUUCAAGAUAGUGUGUGUGACAUAUGUGGGAACGGGGAGGAAGAUGAAUAUCAUGUUGUUAUAUCAUGCACAAAAAGUAAGGCGUUGAGAUUUGCCAUGAGGAAAGAGUGGAGGCUUCCAGAAGAAAAGGAGUUCUGGUACACUGGAACAGACUGGCUACAAAUCCUACUGGACAAGUAUGAUUCAGAGAUAAGAAAGAAAAAUCUGCUGUUGUUAUGGAGAGCCUGGUUUCUAUGAGAUAACUGUAUCCACAGUGAUGGCAAAGAAACCAUUUCGAGAUCGGUGAUGUUCCUUGUGCAGUAUGAGGAGGAAAUCAGGAAUUUGUCACUAUCUGUUG